Molecule: transfer RNA, 85 nt
Filed under: Yimella lutea
Lineage: Bacteria; Bacillati; Actinomycetota; Actinomycetes; Micrococcales; Dermacoccaceae
Description: tRNA-Leu
Rfam family: tRNA
About the family: Transfer RNA (tRNA) molecules are approximately 80 nucleotides in length.
Source: RNAcentral
GCCUCGAUGGUGGAACUGGUAGACACGCCGGCUUCAGGUGCCGGUGCCCCGUGAGGGCGUGCAGGUUCGAUCCCUGUUCGAGGUA